GGACUACAGGGGUAUCUAAUCCUGUUUGCUCCCCACGCUUUCGCGCCUCAGCGUCAGUAUCGGGCCAGUGAGUCGCCUUCGCCACUGGUGUUCUUCCGAAUAUCUACGAAUUUCACCUCUACACUCGGAGUUCCACUCACCUCUCCCGAACUCAAGAUAUCCAGUAUUAAAGGCUGUUCCAGGGUUGAGCCCUGGGCUUUCACCUCUAACUUAAAUAUCCGCCUACGCGCCCUUUACGCCCAGUAAUUCCGAGCAACGCUAGCCCCCUUCGUAUUACCGCGGCUGCUGGCAC
Molecule: ribosomal RNA, 292 nt
Filed under: uncultured bacterium
Lineage: Bacteria
Description: partial 16S ribosomal RNA
Source: RNAcentral